RNAcentral lists this ribosomal RNA (563 nucleotides) under Actinoplanes sp. 331F02. RNAcentral describes it as "bacterial SSU rRNA". It matches the Rfam family "Bacterial small subunit ribosomal RNA", at positions 93 to 671 of the family's 1533-position model. The record is from RNAcentral. Lineage: Bacteria; Bacillati; Actinomycetota; Actinomycetes; Micromonosporales; Micromonosporaceae.
GAGCGGCGAACGGGUGAGUAACACGUGAGUAACCUGCCCCAAACUUUGGGAUAACCCUCGGAAACGGGGGCUAAUACCGGAUAUUACUUCGCAUCGCAUGGUGCUUGGUGGAAAGUUUUUCGGUUUGGGAUGGACUCGCGGCCUAUCAGCUUGUUGGUGAGGUAAUGGCUCACCAAGGCGAGGACGGGUAGCCGGCCUGAGAGGGCGACCGGCCACACUGGGACUGAGACACGGCCCAGACUCCUACGGGAGGCAGCAGUGGGGAAUAUUGCACAAUGGGCGGAAGCCUGAUGCAGCGACGCCGCGUGAGGGAUGACGGCCUUCGGGUUGUAAACCUCUUUCAGCAGGGACGAAGCGCAAGUGACGGUACCUGCAGAAGAAGCGCCGGCCAACUACGUGCCAGCAGCCGCGGUAAGACGUAGGGCGCGAGCGUUGUCCGGAUUUAUUGGGCGUAAAGAGCUCGUAGGCGGCUUGUCGCGUCGAAUGUGAAAACUCGGGGCUCAACUCCGAGCUUGCAUUCGAUACGGGCAGGCUAGAGUUCGGUAGGGGAGACUGGAAUUCCU